AGAGUUUGAUCCUGGCUCAGAGCGAACGCUGGCGGCAGGCCUAAAACAUGCAAGUCGAACGCCGUAGCAAUACGGAGUGGCAGACGGGUGAGUAACACGUGGGAACGUGCCUUUUGGUUCGGAACAACCCAGGGAAACUUGGGCUAAUACCGGAUAAGCCCUUCGGGGGAAAGAUUUAUCGCCAGAAGAUCGGCCCGCGUCUGAUUAGCUAGUUGGUGGGGUAAUGGCCCACCAAGGCUACGAUCAGUAGCUGGUCUGAGAGGAUGAUCAGCCACACUGGGACUGAGACACGGCCCAGACUCCUACGGGAGGCAGCAGUUAGGAAUCUUGGACAAUGGGCGCAAGCCUGAUCCAGCCAUGCCGCGUGAGUGAUGAAGGCCUUAGGGUUGUAAAGCUCUUUCAGCGGGGAAGAUAAUGACGGUACCCGCAGAAGAAGCCCCGGCUAACUUCGUGCCAGCAGCCGCGGUAAUACGAAGGGGGCUAGCGUUGCUCGGAAUCACUGGGCGUAAAGCGCACGUAGGCGGAUUGUUAAGUCAGGGGUGAAAUCCUGGAGCUCAACUCCAGAACUGCCUUUGAUACUGGCGAUCUUGAGUCCGGGAGAGGUGAGUGGAACUCCGAGUGUAGAGGUGAAAUUCGUAGAUAUUCGGAAGAACACCAGUGGCGAAGGCGGCUCACUGGCCCGGUACUGACGCUGAUGUGCGAAAGCGUGGGGAGCAAACAGGAUUAGAUACCCCCGUAGUCC
RNAcentral lists this ribosomal RNA (742 nucleotides) under uncultured bacterium. RNAcentral's name for it is "bacterial SSU rRNA". It matches the Rfam family "Bacterial small subunit ribosomal RNA", at positions 8 to 796 of the family's 1533-position model. The record is from RNAcentral.